Molecule: ribosomal RNA, 748 nt
Filed under: Acinetobacter baumannii Naval-81
Lineage: Bacteria; Pseudomonadati; Pseudomonadota; Gammaproteobacteria; Moraxellales; Moraxellaceae
Description: bacterial SSU rRNA
Rfam family: Bacterial small subunit ribosomal RNA
Source: RNAcentral
AUUGAACGCUGGCGGCAGGCUUAACACAUGCAAGUCGAGCGGGGGAAGGUAGCUUGCUACCGGACCUAGCGGCGGACGGGUGAGUAAUGCUUAGGAAUCUGCCUAUUAGUGGGGGGCAACAUCUCGAAAGGGAUGCUAAUACCGCAUACGUCCUACGGGAGAAAGCAGGGGAUCUUCGGACCUUGCGCUAAUAGAUGAGCCUAAGUCGGAUUAGCUAGUUGGUGGGGUAAAGGCCUACCAAGGCGACGAUCUGUAGCGGGUCUGAGAGGAUGAUCCGCCACACUGGGACUGAGACACGGCCCAGACUCCUACGGGAGGCAGCAGUGGGGAAUAUUGGACAAUGGGGGGAACCCUGAUCCAGCCAUGCCGCGUGUGUGAAGAAGGCCUUAUGGUUGUAAAGCACUUUAAGCGAGGAGGAGGCUACUUUAGUUAAUACCUAGAGAUAGUGGACGUUACUCGCAGAAUAAGCACCGGCUAACUCUGUGCCAGCAGCCGCGGUAAUACAGAGGGUGCGAGCGUUAAUCGGAUUUACUGGGCGUAAAGCGUGCGUAGGCGGCUUAUUAAGUCGGAUGUGAAAUCCCCGAGCUUAACUUGGGAAUUGCAUUCGAUACUGGUGAGCUAGAGUAUGGGAGAGGAUGGUAGAAUUCCAGGUGUAGCGGUGAAAUGCGUAGAGAUCUGGAGGAAUACCGAUGGCGAAAGCAGCCAUCUGGCCUAAUACUGACGCUGAGUACGAAAGCAUGGGGAGCAA